Thalassophryne amazonica is the source of this 105-nucleotide long non-coding RNA. RefSeq lists it as uncharacterized. NCBI's taxonomy places the organism in Eukaryota, Metazoa, Chordata, Actinopteri, Batrachoidiformes, Batrachoididae. The transcript is spliced from 3 exons. The record is from RefSeq and is a predicted model, not a curated record.
CUGUCUCCAGUGUUUUUGCUCUAGGGGUUGGUGAUGACGUUAGAACUUACUUGUGUGAAGUGCCUUGAGGCAGCAUAGUUGUGAUUUUGUGCUACAUAAAAUUAA